CACAUCAAUUAUUAAGAGGAAAUGUCGCGGAAAUAGUUUCUGGAAAUUUGUUCAGUUCGAAUUAAAUUUAUACAAUGAAACGUUUUGUAAGUGGAAGGACCUUUCUUCGUGUUAGGGUAAAAUCAAAUAAGAUAUUCCACUUCAUAUGAUUAAUCUUGAAGUGUGCUCCCCAGCAAAUAAAUAUUUCAACAAGGUUCAGCAAUCGAUUAGGAGAUGUUCCUGAUUUCACUAUGUAAACGAAUUACUAUUUAAUCAAGGCAAGUAUCUCUCCGGUAGUGAGGGAUGCAAUCAAAUGAAAUGGAGAAGAAAAUACACUUCUAUGCUAGGCAGAUCUUUGGAGAUUCCGUUUAACAGCAAGGAUGACCAGGAAAGCAAAAUGCUGACGAGUCAGGAAACUGAAUGAAAUUUGACUGUGUAACAGGACGUAGCGUAAGCUGACGAAAGUGGACAUAUGUUAGUCCUCCUCAAUGUGUAGCCUGUUAUGAUAGUGAAGCAUUCUUCACCCAGAGGGGAUAUCUAGGACUUAAUUCAAAUUUAUGCAACUGGUAUUUGAUUUAUGGUCAAAAUAAAAUUAUUAUCUCAAAUCAUUACGUAAAAUA
Long non-coding RNA from Hermetia illucens (black soldier fly), 599 nucleotides. RefSeq lists it as uncharacterized. Lineage: Eukaryota; Metazoa; Arthropoda; Insecta; Diptera; Stratiomyidae. The transcript is spliced from 2 exons. The record is from RefSeq and is a predicted model, not a curated record.